This 76-nucleotide unclassified non-coding RNA is filed under the name Lactococcus lactis. RNAcentral describes it as "countertranscribed RNA". The record is from RNAcentral. Lineage: Bacteria; Bacillati; Bacillota; Bacilli; Lactobacillales; Streptococcaceae.
UAGUUUUUUUUCUGUCAUAUGCUAUAAUAUUCCUAACCGUAAAUAUACUAGAGCCAUUCGCCGUGGCUCUUUUUUU